AGAGCGAACGCUGGCGGCAGGCCUAACACAUGCAAGUCGAACGGAUCCUUCGGGAUUAGUGGCGGACGGGUGAGUAACACGUGGGAACGUGCCCUUUGGUUCGGAACAACUCAGGGAAACUUGAGCUAAUACCGGAUAAGCCUUUCGAGGGAAAGAUUUAUCGCCCAGGGAUGAGCCCGCGUAGGAUUAGCUAGUUGGUGAGGUAAAGGCUCACCAAGGCGACGAUCCUUAGCUGGUCUGAGAGGAUGAUCAGCCACACUGGGACUGAGACACGGCCCAGACUCCUACGGGAGGCAGCAGUAGGGAAUAUUGGACAAUGGGCGCAAGCCUGAUCCAGCAAUGCCGCGUGAGUGAUGAAGGCCUUAGGGUGUAAAGCUCUUUUACCCGAGAUGAUAAUGACAGUAUCGGAGAAUAAGCCCGGCUAACUCCGUGCCAGCAGCCGC
RNAcentral lists this ribosomal RNA (443 nucleotides) under uncultured soil bacterium. RNAcentral describes it as "bacterial SSU rRNA". It matches the Rfam family "Bacterial small subunit ribosomal RNA", at positions 26 to 518 of the family's 1533-position model. The record is from RNAcentral.